AUUUCCCACAGCCCAGACACAGAGGAGCUUCCCUCUUCCCCAUAAUCUUACUUACUUUGUGUCAAAAUCACCAUUCUUCUGGGUCCAAGCUAAUUCUUAAGGAUGGUACCUUCUGCCUCCCUGAAAAGAAAUGGCUGAUGUAUCUUGAAGAUACAAAAUUGUUGAGUUUUUGAUCUACUGAGCAGUCUACUGAGGCAAAGGAAAGUUCUUAAGAUGGCUCCCCCUUCCAGGCACUGUCUGUAUUUUCUGGGAAAUACCAGGCAUUAACCUCUCCUGCACCCAGUCACUUGUCAGAGCUCAGGUCAUCCAUCUGCUCAGCCUGCUUAUCUGCAGCCAAGUGUACAUUCUUAAAGUGUCCCGUGAUUUCCCAAAAAGCAGGAUUCAGAGCAAUUAAUCUUUGAAAACUAGGAUUUACAUUUUGAAAGCUUUAGAGAACUGGCCUGAAACAUCUCAUUGUUAUUUUAAGGAGUUUGUGGCCUUUUCAUGGAAGAUGAACAUUUGGCCCACUUUGGCUCAUUUUACAUAAACAUAUAAAACCAGUGAUGGUAAUGGAGAGAACCCACAAAAACCCAGUGCUGGGGCCUAAUCCUGAAGCAAAAGAUUUAUCAGUAAUGCUACCAGAGUUCCCAGAAUGUAUCAACUGAGUAGUACUCCAGGAAAACAGAACCUGGGAAGGCUCCGUGGUGAAGAGACCUUUGCGUUGGGUCCUGAAGGAUGUGCAAGCAUGUUUCUAGCACAAAAGGAGCUGGUCAUUCCAGGCAAGGGGAACUGUCUGCCAAGAUGUGCACUCCCAGUAUCAGUAGAGCUUUUAGAAAAAGUUGAAGAUUGCUGGACUGUUCUUUGCUUGAAGAUGCCUCCUUGACAUGUGCCUGUAGCACUAUUUGGAAGGAAGAUGACAAUUUUUCUCCAAUACCAG
This is a long non-coding RNA of Heterocephalus glaber (naked mole-rat), 916 nucleotides long. The record is from Ensembl. NCBI's taxonomy places the organism in Eukaryota, Metazoa, Chordata, Mammalia, Rodentia, Bathyergidae.